UACGUAGGGUGCGAGCGUUGUCCGGAAUUACUGGGCGUAAAGCGCACGUAGGCGGACCAGCAAGUUAGGGGUGAAAUCCUGGGGCUCAACCCCGGAACUGCCUUUAAAACUGUUGGUCUGGAGGUCGAGAGAGGUGAGUGGAAUUCCGAGUGUAGAGGUGAAAUUCGUAGAUAUUCGGAGGAACACCAGUGGCGAAGGCGGCUCACUGGCUCGAUACUGACGCUGAGGUGCGAAAGCGUGGGGAGCAAACAGG
Molecule: ribosomal RNA, 253 nt
Filed under: uncultured bacterium
Lineage: Bacteria
Description: partial 16S ribosomal RNA
Rfam family: Bacterial small subunit ribosomal RNA
Source: RNAcentral